This 253-nucleotide ribosomal RNA is filed under the name uncultured bacterium. RNAcentral describes it as "partial 16S ribosomal RNA". It matches the Rfam family "Bacterial small subunit ribosomal RNA", at positions 524 to 776 of the family's 1533-position model. The record is from RNAcentral.
UACGUAGGGGGCAAGCGUUGUCCGGAUUCAUUGGGCGUAAAGCGCGUGUAGGCGGCCAGGUAGGUCCGACGUGAAAACUGGAGGCUCAACCUCCAGCUGUCGUUGGAAACCAUCUGGCUAGAGUCCGGAAGAGGAGAGUGGAAUUCCUGGUGUAGCGGUGAAAUGCGUAGAUAUCAAGAGGAACACCUGCGGCGAAGGCGGGUUGCUGGGCCGACACUGACGCUGAGGCGCGAAAGCUAGGGGAGCGAACGGG